Long non-coding RNA from Peromyscus californicus insignis, 515 nucleotides. RefSeq lists it as uncharacterized. The transcript has 3 exons. The record is from RefSeq and is a predicted model, not a curated record. Lineage: Eukaryota; Metazoa; Chordata; Mammalia; Rodentia; Cricetidae.
CAGGCAAGGGGAUCGGCUGAAUGGUUUUGGGGUUCAUGGAGACUGGAAGAUGACAUUCCCAAGAGGAAACCUUUCUCAAAUUCUUGCAGACACACCUAGAGACUAGCUACAGCCUCUGUUUCCUCUGGAACUGAAGUGAUUGAAAUGGCGAAGCUCCUCACAACUCAAAAUAGCUUCAGGAAAUCCCCGAAACUGACCAGAUUCACUAGGCCGCUCCCUGGCAGAUGCACAAAUGUCCCACAACAUUUCUCACAUAAUCGAAGUUGAAAAGAAGACCCUGGGACCAGACCAGCUGCCUGCAAGAAGCAGAAACCAGCUGAUCUGCCUGGAAGAGGGUUAGGCCAACUGAGGCACCUGGAAGGGACUCUCUCCAACCUGCUGAGCUGCCUGCAGGCUGUGCGGUGAGUCCCAGAUUUCCCAGCUUUGUGAGCUGUCACCCAUGCUGGGGUGGGCCCUGAUGAUGCAGCUGCCUUCAAAUCAUUUCUGCUCCUGUACGUAACCUCUCACCCAUAUCC